UAGAACGACAAAAUUAACACUUUUCUUUUGUGAGAACAACAUUCGCAUAUCAAAAUAUAAUACUCAUGUUGAUCAAUUGCUUUACUGAACUACAAACUGUAAAUAUUUUCAUAGAGAUGUUUUCAGAAGACAAAAGGCUUGGGGGUUACCAGCUUAAAAGAAAGCUACUAAGAGAUCUCCACCUAUACCCAAAAGCUUAAACAUUAAGCCAACACAAUCCUAUCCAACAGACUGAAACCUUAGAUCACUCUGAUCAUAUGCUAGCUAACAUUCCUUACAUAGCUUCCACUUUUUCAGCUACAGAACAAAAGGCCACACUUAUCCCUGUCCACCCGUCAAGCAGAACAAUGCUCCAGGACUGCAAGAGAAUGAAUUUAUAAAGUAUCAAAUCAGACUUGUAGGGAAUUUCUUAACUACCAAAUAGACCAAAUACAGAAAAUACAAACAAUACCAAGGGUUGGCAAGGCUUUUGAAUCUUUGACAAUAAAAAAAAUUCUCAAAUGCUUGGUUUUCUAUACAACCAAUAUAGCUUACAUGAUAGUUGUGGGAUGAGGUGGCAAUAUCAUCAAGCUUCUUUCCAUGAAAAUUACAGCAUUUAGGCAACAUAUAUUCUAUCCUUUUGUUCUGAUAGUGUUAGAAACAAAUUAUGACAGGAUGCCAGAUCAAGCAACCAGAAUAACAUCUAAGCACAUAAACAUGUCCUUUUCAACUCUUGCAAGACAACUUCUGUAAUCAGCAAUUUGCAGAAUUGUAUCGCAAAUAUAGAUAACAUCAUAUUGCAGUUAUACACAGAAAUAACCAGCAAAGUUUCUAAUCAUAGAUAGACCAGCAUUUUCAAUGUUGUAACAAAAAUUUUGUGAUCAGAAAACUAAUAGAUGUAUACAGACAAAUUUUGUGAUCAGAAAACCGAUAGAGCCAUAUAGGCUGUACAUGCUUUGUAUUAUCUCAAAUUAGAAAGGCAACCAGGAUUGUAGAUGUAGGACCCCAAGGAAUGCAUGUAAGAAUUAAACGAUGCGAACACCUCUAGCAAAUAGUGAACCCAUGGCCCGCUGUUUAAAUCAUUUAAAAUUUAACAGCAAAUCCAGCUCGUUAAGCACCUUAAUCUAAUCAAACUAACUAAAAAAAGGAAAAUAAAAUGAACAAAGAUGGCAUUUCUGCCGCUGGCUUUUUUCUCGAGCACGCAAGAGAGUUGUUCUGCCCGUGGCUUUGUGCCAUCACCAAUGUGUAAUCUCCUUCCCACCUGAAUGGUGCAUUCAAAUGUGAAAUACAUGAGAGGUUUUUUAGAGUGUCUUUCAGCUGUGACAGAAUCAUUUGCACAGUAUUCCCCACCUAAUGUUAGUAUUUUCCUUGAAAACUCAAUCAGGAAUCACAAGAACCAUACAGAUUUAUGAAUCACAGGGACAAGCAAUGACUGAUUAUAAUUGGAGAAGUUUGUUAGCUAUUUAGGUAGUCACAUAAAUAUUCUAGCAAAAGAAGCAGUUAUCAGCAAUCAUUAUCUAUAUGAAAUGCAUGCAUCUACAGAGCUAACUACAAAUGAAUAUUUUCAAUGAUGCAUUUCAUUAGAUAUUUUAACUGCUAACAUUAAGGUAGGUUCAAAUGUUUAGGGCAAAUUAAGUGGAAGCUAGGAUCCAAAUCUAAAGCCCAACAAACCAUUCAGGCUUACACACUAACAGGUCAUGUAAGAUUGCCACAUUCCCAUGCUUGUAGGGAAAACAACGAACACCUUGUAGGCAGGACACCACACAAAACAAACACCUCAAAUUUUUGUGGGGAAUACAAACGAAAAUCAGAUACCAAUGGAAGAUGGCUUGCUGCAUCCAGAGAACGGCAAAAAUCAGAUACUAAUGGGAGAUGGCUUGCUGCAUCCAGAGAACGGCUAGGCGAUGGGAGACAACUCCUCCUCCAUCUGGUGGCCAGAAAAAAAUAGGAGCUUUGCCACUGCUUAUGGAGCACCCACAUCACUCGAAAAUCAAGCCAUGCACCGCCAGACAUAUACCUCGCCACCUCACCUUGGAGAACUCCAUGCCAACGCCAUUUCUAGCAAGCUCGAGGCAUUGUCCACCUGAACCAGUGAACCACCACCACACCGGGGACGUUGCCAGCUACACACUUCAGGCCCGCUCCGCCAUGCGCUCCUCCUCUCUUCGCCAGAUCUGGCCGCUGCAAGGUAGAUGCCACCAGAUCUGAAGGCAGCGUGGGGCUUGGAUUGUGGCGAAGGUAAAUCGCCGACGAGGUGGUGCUAAGGACGGAGACCUAACCUGAUUGAAAGCCAGAUCGACCUACUCGCUAGCUCGAGCCCAGCGGCAUCGGCAGCAAGAAGAGAGAGGAAGUGGAGGACAUGCGGCGAAGCAUGUGGCGGUGUCGGGGCGAGGUUAGGUGCUGGAGGAUGGAGCGGCGGCGCAACUGCGCAGGGUGUCGGUGUGGCGGGGAGAGGCGGCGCGAGGAGGGGGAAGCGACGCACCGUCACGGGAGUGGUGGCGGCUAGGGUUUCGGGGAGGAAGGGCCGAAAGGGGUAGGGAUUUAUGUUGUUU
Molecule: long non-coding RNA, 2531 nt
Filed under: Oryza sativa (Asian cultivated rice)
Lineage: Eukaryota; Viridiplantae; Streptophyta; Magnoliopsida; Poales; Poaceae
Description: long non-coding RNA (OSAT_LNC001012)
Source: RNAcentral